AUAGCUCAGUGGUGGAGCGCAUGCUUAGCAUGCAUGAGGUCCUGUGUUCAAUCCCCAGU
RNAcentral lists this transfer RNA (59 nucleotides) under Camelus bactrianus (Bactrian camel). It matches the Rfam family "tRNA", at positions 7 to 64 of the family's 71-position model. From Rfam's summary of the family: Transfer RNA (tRNA) molecules are approximately 80 nucleotides in length. Lineage: Eukaryota; Metazoa; Chordata; Mammalia; Artiodactyla; Camelidae. The record is from Rfam by way of RNAcentral. RNAcentral also lists the same sequence under 3 other names.